AUCGCUUCUCGGCCUUUUGGCUAAGAUCAAAUGUAGUAUCUGUUCUUAUCAAUUUAAAAAAUCUCUCUCUCUCAAACUGGCCCAUUGAAAUUUUAGAUGCAAUAAAGGAAGAUUUCUCUAACUGAGGCCAUUCUGAGCAUCAAAUGUGGACACAAGCAAUUGUCCUGAAAGACUGGGCCUUCUGCAAUCCGGUUAUUUGCUUUAACAGCAUAUUUGCAAAGCCCA
This is a non-coding RNA of Pteropus alecto (black flying fox), 225 nucleotides long. NCBI's taxonomy places the organism in Eukaryota, Metazoa, Chordata, Mammalia, Chiroptera, Pteropodidae. The record is from Rfam.